CUCUGCCUCUCCCCUGCUUGUACUCUCUCUCUCUCUCAAAAUAAAUAAGUAAACUUAAAAAAAAAGUUUAUAAGAUCUCUGCCCCCAGCAAAGUGCAAAAUUAAAGACUCUUUAAACACAACUUGCCAGACCUUCUCAUCUUCCUUUCUUCACUCCCUCCCUUCCCUCCUCUCCUCUUCCUCCUCCUCCUUCCGUUGUCUACACACACCAAUGUUAGUCGUUUCUGGGUGAAAAGAAAUAUAGAUAAAGAAAAUUAUAUGCAAUUAUAUAUGCUAUAUAUUUAUUUCUAUUAUGUAUUUAUAAUUAUAUAGUCACAUAUAAGAAUUUGUUAACAUGAUAAAAUACGUGUAUAUUUAUCCCUCCACCUAAUUUUUGACCUUAAAUUUACAUUGUUUGGUCACAAAGGAAACCUCAAAUGACCCCCAGGAAGUGUGUCAACUGGGAAACUGAAUUUGCCCCAGGAGUGUCCCCUUGCUCAAGCACAAGGCUUCGUCUCUUAAUAUCUUAUCUAAGUCCCAAGUGACUGUCAAUGCUGACCAAGGACAGGAAGUUCUUAUGACUCUGGUCUGCUGAGCUCUGAGCUUGGAAAGGGGAGAAAGUGCUCAAGGCGAGAGGUCACCUGCCUCGGAUGUGCAGGAACCUUAGGAAAUUCUGCUGCGUCGGGAGGCGCCUUGGGCACCCGAUGCGCGGACGACAGACGUGUGUUCCUGCUUCCAAGAAGCUUCAACCAUCCAGAGAGGGAGACGAAGUCAGCGCGGAAGCUUUGCUGGGGCAGGAGCCAGUCCAGACUGAGAGCUAACCCUGUCCCCUCCUUCAGGGCUCUGUGACCAGAGGCAAGUUAUUUAACCUUGGUGACCCACGGCCUUCUAUCUCAGAAAUGGGAAGAUGCCAUUUUCACAGGGUUGUUGUAAGGAUUAAAUGAGAUUUCUCCAAACCUCAGGUAUUGGCAUCUCCCCUUUAAAAUGUUUGCUUCAUCUCCCUGCAACGUGGGCAAUCAGUUCAUUCACAUCGCCACCCACUUUCGCUUCCUCCUAAGUGGCAGUAUCUGUGAAAUCUCGG
Leopardus geoffroyi (Geoffroy's cat) is the source of this 1059-nucleotide long non-coding RNA. RefSeq lists it as uncharacterized. The transcript has 2 exons. NCBI's taxonomy places the organism in Eukaryota, Metazoa, Chordata, Mammalia, Carnivora, Felidae. The record is from RefSeq and is a predicted model, not a curated record.